UGUUCCUCCCCAGGUGCAGGACUUUGCACUUCUUGUUGAACUUCAAGAGGUUCCUGCCAGCCCCUUUCUCCAGCCUAUUAAGGCCCCUCUUGAUGGCAGCAUGACCCGCUGGCGCAUCAGCCACUCCUCCCAGUUUUGUAUUGUUUGCAGAAAUUU
Long non-coding RNA from Aquila chrysaetos chrysaetos, 156 nucleotides. RefSeq lists it as uncharacterized. The record is from RefSeq and is a predicted model, not a curated record. Lineage: Eukaryota; Metazoa; Chordata; Aves; Accipitriformes; Accipitridae. The transcript is spliced from 3 exons.